GAAAAUUGGUUUACACAGACCUAGAGAUAAAGAAGAGAGAGAGGGAGAGAGAGGAAGGAAGAAGAGGAGGCGGCUUUGCCUUUACUAUUAUAGAGAAAGAAAGAAGAGGACACAAAGACAGAAAGGAAGAAGUGAUAUAUGCUUUCUUGAGCCGCUAUCUAGCUUGCGCCGAGAAUGGUCGGAGAUGUGAACGGAAGCGGAGCCAGCGCAACGACGUCUUCUUCGUCGGCGUUGGCGGAAACGCAGUACGUUGGAGCGAAGACGUCCGUGUGGUGGGACAUAGAGAACUGCCAGGUUCCCAAGAGCUGCGAUCCGCACUCGAUCGCUCAGAAUAUCAGCUCUGCGCUUAUUAAUAUGAACUACUGUGGCCCCAUCUCCAUCUCCGCCUAUUGCGACACCACCCGCAUCCCCGCUUCUGUCCAGCACGCGCUCUCCAGCACCGGCAUCGCCCUCAACCACGUCCCUACCGGUGUAAAAGAUGCAAGUGAUAAGAAGAUUUUAGUUGAUAUGCUGUUCUGGGCAGUGGACAACCCUGCUCCUGCAAACUUCAUGCUAAUUUCUGGUGACAGGGAUUUCUCUAAUGCACUCCAUCAACUACGCAUGAGGAGAUAUAAUAUUCUUCUAGCGCAACCUCACAAAGCAUCUGCACCUCUUAUUGCUGCGGCAAAAACUGUAUGGCUCUGGACCAGCCUCUCUGCUGGAGGAUCCCCACUUUCGAAUGGUGAGUCAUCACAGAUUGCUAAUGGUCACCAUACCUCCACUAAUCAUGAAACGUUGCAAUACCAAGUUUCUGAUCCUGUUAAAUUAAGCCAAUCUAGUAUGUUCGUCAAUUCUGAAAAUUUUUCUUCGGGAAGUCAAAGGCCUCUCAGUGGUGGGAGGGUUGGUGAUAUAAAAAAUAAAGGAAAAUCUAGUCGAAAAACCGUAAAUCAGCCAAACAUACCCAGGGCCUCAAGCAUGCCAGGGUCGAUUCAAGAGAGUAGAAACAACAAUUAUCCUUACCAACCAGAUUAUACAGAAGCAAAGCAGUUAAAGAAAGCCCCACAUGAAUUCUUUGGUAGCAGUGAACCUGUAGUCCCUGCAAGUCGGUCUACACCAAAUUUCUUUCCUGGCAGUUCUGACACUUCAGGGAGUAAUGGCAAUAAUUUCUUAGGAAAUCCACAAAAUCAAUAUCCUCAUUCUUUGAGGCCAAACAACCCUCAUAUGCAACCUUCUUUUGGACCGGAGAAUUUGCAUCAUCCAAAUUCUCAUGGUCAUGGUUUUCGCCCAAUUCGACCUAAUGGCCCCGGAUAUUUUCCAGCUCCACAUAUGAAUAUGCCCGAUUUGGGUAGGCUAAGUAUCCCUGAAUACCCCAGCUAUGUUCAAAACCCUCCUAAUGGCCAGCACAGAAGUGGAGAAGAAUUUAGGCCUAACUCUACUGAAUCUCCAUAUUCAGCACGUAUAAAUGCACAACAAAAAGGCCAUAGCCAGGGGGGCCAGGCAUUUCAUCACGAUGCUAUGAACAACAGGUUUCCUCAUGGUUCUGGAUAUUCCCCACCUGUAUCCUCUCCAAUGAAUGCUGUUCCUAGCAAUGGUGGCUGGGGAUCUCGAGGACAUUCACCACCUUCUGACUAUGUGCAAGGCCUUAUUGGUGUCAUCCUACUUGCAUUAAACACCCUGAAAACUGAAAAAAUUAUGCCUACUGAAGCAAACAUAACUGAUUGCAUACGCUAUGGAGAUCUGAAACAUCGCGAUACUGAUGUAAAGAAGGCCUUGGAUUACGCAAUUGAACAAAAUAUGGUAGUGAAACAGAACCUAGGUGCAGUGCAGCUGUAUGUUGGUAAAAAUGGAAGAUUAUGGAAGUGUGUGAACCCUAUAGGUGGUAAUCCUAUGCACUACUCAAAAUCAACAUGGGAUGGCAUACAGAAGUUUCUUACUUCCUCAGCUGGCAGAUCAAAGAUGAUGGCUUCUCAAUGCAGAUAUGAAGCAGCUUUGACCUUAAGGAAAGAAUGCUUAGAAGAGCAUGCUUUGGGUGAUGUACUCCAGAUCUUGAAUAUGGUCAUUUCCGUGAAGAGAUGGAUUAUUCAUCAUCACUCGGGAUGGCAACCGAUUAACAUUAUUCUUGCAGAGACUUAAACUGAUAUAGCUAUCGAAACUGGUCCUUGAUCAAAAUAUAAGAUCAGUUUUGGCACCAAAAUAUUGGCGACUUAAGAUGGUUAGAGGUAUCGUCAUUAAGUUGGACCUCAUGACUGGAGGAACACAGGUCACUUUUGAAAGUAAGUAGGGCUCUGCUAUUUGUUUCACAGCUUUAUUUGCUGGAAGUAGCUGGCAUCUAUAGAAUGAAAACUCUCUUUGGGUAAGGUCACCUACUAGACUGCUCAAUUUUGUACAGCCCGGUGGCUAUAAGAUGCUCUCUGCGCCCUAGUUUUUUUUUUUUUAAAAGCUUUGCACCCAAAUCACUGGGUCUAUUCCUUAAUUAGAGGUACUACUUCCUAGGUCUUGUUUCUUAAAGGUGUAGUAUUUUAAGAGAGAUGCACCAGGGAAGAGUCUUGAACUUUUUAAACAAAAAAAAAAAAAAAAAGAAAAAAAAAAGAGAAGGAAAACCUUGUAAGCAAAUUUCGUAGCCGUGGAUAUAUGAUAUUUGUAUUAUAGCCAGCAUAAUUAGGUUAUGCUGGUUUGUUGUGGUAUAAGGGGCCUUUGAUACAAGUUUUAUUGAAGACGUGCUAUAGUUCUGUUGAAGGGUUUUGAAAAGACCGUGACGACAUGGAGGAGUUUAGUGGUUCAUUUAAAAGACUACAGAAAAGUUCAAAGCGAAAGAGAUGAAGCAACUCCAUAGACAUCAAAGAAGCAUACAAGGUAUGGAUGGUGACUCGUAUUGUUUUUUCAAGUGUGAGAAGAGAGCAUUGCUUUUACUCUUAUUAUAGGUAAAUAAAAAAGAAGGGAGCAUUGUUUAUGCAGACAGCAUAUGCAUAUGUCAGAUUUCUGGAUGCCUUGUAGGAAAGUACAGCUGGAGCUUUGUGCGUGUUCUACCUUGAAAUUGUUUAUAUCAAUUAUCUUGCUGCUAGAGGAAAAAUCUGGGAAGAACAGUGAUGCCAUCUAUGGCUCUAUCCUAUUGGAAGUGUGUACUUUUCUUUUUUUGUCCUUUCAGUGCCUGUUCGUGUUGUAUUUGGCUAAACAAGUUGGCUUGGACCCUUGACUGAUCUUAUGCGGGCUAGCUGGCUUGCUUUCGGAACGCAAUAUCUGGAACAAGCAAUAUGAUAUAAAGCUCUCUCUCUCUCUCUCUCUCUCUCUCGUGUGUGUGUGUCCGCUUCGAAGAAGAAGAAGAAGAGAAGUUUGUGCAGGCCAAGACGGCAAUUGGUCAAUGUUGUCAAGUUUUGAAAGUUAGACGAGGUCGUUGCUGGACUGCAUUUGAUGUCCGAGGAGGUACGACUCGCGUACUUCCAGUCAUAUUAAUGUGUUUAUGAGUAGUAUUCACGCUGCUUGUUGGAUUACAAGAAGUGGAAGAGAGACGGAGACUAGAAUCAAGGCUGUUUAUAAUUUCUGUGACUGACUACUUCAGCCGUAGUCCAAACGCAUGUUGAAUAUUCCCGCGUCAGCGUGGACGGACUCUCAAACCAACCCCCUCACCUACUUAAAACGAGUGGCUGAACUCGAUUGUUUCACCCAACCCAUUUACAAUUGACACUAAUAAUUUAUUUAUGAGAUGUCAUUUCUGUGGGUCA
Molecule: RNA transcript, 3698 nt
Organism: Juglans regia (Persian walnut)
Lineage: Eukaryota; Viridiplantae; Streptophyta; Magnoliopsida; Fagales; Juglandaceae
Exons: 4
Source: RefSeq, a predicted model, not a curated record